GCUUUCAAAACUGUCGUUCUUGAGUGGUGCAGAGGUAGGCGGAAUUCCCGGUGUAGCGGUGGAAUGCGUAGAUAUCGGGAGGAACACCAGUGGCGAAGGCGGCCUACUGGGCACUAACUGACGCUGAGGCUCGAAAGCAUGGGUAGCAAACAGGAUUAGAUACCCUGGUAGUCCAUGCCGUAAACGAUGAUUACUAGGUGUGGGGAGAUUGACCCUCUCCGUGCCGCAGUUAACACAAUAAGUAAUCCACCUGGGGAGUACGACCGCAAGGUUGAAACUCAAAGGAAUUGACGGGGGCCCGCACAAGCAGUGGAGUAUGUGGUUUAAUUCGAAGCAACGCGAAGAACCUUACCAGGUCUUGACAUCCAACGACCGCUUAAGAGAUUAAGCUUUCCUUCGGGACGUUGAGACAGGUGGUGCAUGGUUGUCGUCAGCUCGUGCCGUGAGAUGUUGGGUUAAGUCCCGCAACGAGCGCAACCCUUAUCGUCAGUUACUACGCAAGAGGACUCUGGCGAGACUGCCGUUGACAAAACGGAGGAAGGUGGGGAUGACGUCAAAUCAUCAUGCCCUUUAUGACCUGGGCUACACACGUACUACAAUGGCUGUAAACAGAGAGAAGCGAAGCCGCGAGGCAGAGCAAACCUCAUAAACACAGUCUCAGUUCGGAUUGCAGGCUGCAACCCGCCUGCAUGAAGCCGGAAUUGCUAGUAAUCGCGGAUCAGCAUGCCGCGGUGAAUACGUUCCCGGGCCUUGUACACACCGCCCGUCACACCAUGAGAGCCGGGGGGACCCGAAGUCGGUAGUCUAACCGCAAGGAGGACGCCGCCGAAGGUAAAACUGGUGAUUGGGGUGAAGUCGUAACAAGGUAACC
Molecule: ribosomal RNA, 871 nt
Filed under: uncultured bacterium
Lineage: Bacteria
Description: bacterial SSU rRNA
Rfam family: Bacterial small subunit ribosomal RNA
Source: RNAcentral